Molecule: long non-coding RNA, 502 nt
Filed under: Physcomitrium patens
Lineage: Eukaryota; Viridiplantae; Streptophyta; Bryopsida; Funariales; Funariaceae
Description: long non-coding RNA (PPAT_LNC012512)
Source: RNAcentral
AUAGAUCUUUAGAAUUCUUCAUCUUAGUUUUGAUGGAUGUUGUUAAUAAAAGGCCUCAAUCUUCUGUAUUGCAUUUACAAAAUUAUUUAUUGGCUUCCAUGUAAAUUUGCUAAUAUCAUAUGUAUAUUAAUGAACAAGAUAUUCCAACCUCUUUUGAUGGUGCUUCAAAUCUAAGACUUCUUCCACCUCAAAUUCUUGAUUAUUAUUCACUUCUAUAGGAGAAGGUGGUAUUUGUCUUUUUUCCAAGAUAUUUAUUAUCUUAUACAGCUCAAGUAUGGAUACAUGAAAUACAGGGUGGAUCUUCAUAGAUUUUAGUAAAUAUAAUCGAUAAGCAAUAAAAUUGAUUUAUUCACAAAUAGAAAAAGGUCCCAGUCUAUGAUAGUCCAACUUAUCACAAGCAUGAGUAGUCUUGAUAUUACAACAAAAUAACCAUAUCUUAUCACCUACAUUGAAUUGUGGUUGCUCUAUGUAAUAAACAUCUAUAUUGGUCUUUUGUCAUUCU